Molecule: long non-coding RNA, 343 nt
Filed under: Macaca mulatta (Rhesus monkey)
Lineage: Eukaryota; Metazoa; Chordata; Mammalia; Primates; Cercopithecidae
Description: lncRNA (ENSMMUG00000065318.1)
Source: RNAcentral
AUGAGACGAGGGAUCAAAGACCAAAGAUAUGAAGUUCCAAUGGUGGAGAAUCGAGUGGAGCACAGAAGUGGGGCUGCAGAGCUGCCCAGAUCCCAGGAAAAACUACACAUGCUGAGCUUGAGGCCCAGAGAGAGCAGCACCUCGUCUGUCAUCAAGAUUCUCUGUCAGGUGCUUGCAAGAUAAAAGUAGGACCCUCACCCACACGAGCAAGAACAGAAGGGAGAAGAUGGCACUUCUACGUAUGCAUCUGGAGGUCUGUGUCUAUUUCCCCCAUACAAAAAAAGUCUCCCUUCAAGGAUCCCCUGCUGUGCCAUUCUCUCCUGACACCUUUGAAGGGAGCCAG